RNAcentral lists this long non-coding RNA (388 nucleotides) under Sinocyclocheilus grahami. Its description in RNAcentral is "lncRNA (ENSSGRG00000001526.1)". Lineage: Eukaryota; Metazoa; Chordata; Actinopteri; Cypriniformes; Cyprinidae. The record is from RNAcentral.
UUCUCUCUUUUUGUGUUUCUCAGUGUUGCAGAGAGGAAGGGAGAGAAUAAAAUGUCUCUGAGUAAUUUGGCCACAGUGUUUGGCCCCAGCCUUUUGCGCCCUCCAGUGGCUCGUGUCGACAUAUCUCAAGAAGUGGAGGUUCAGGUUCAGGUGAUUUUUCUCUAUCUGCAGUAUCAGAACCUUCCAGAAGCUCUUCUCACAAAACAUCAGGACAUUGAUGAUCUAGAGACAUGAGCCUUCAACAACCAGACUCCUUUUCUGUCUCCGUGUCCAUGGUCAUAUCUGUACAUUUGUAAAAAUUGUUUAACUUGCUUUAUUUUACAGAUGAAUAAAACAAAAUAUUCUAUUUUAAGGUUUUUAUUGUCAUUAAAAAUGACAUGACCACGAG